Molecule: long non-coding RNA, 320 nt
Filed under: Homo sapiens (human)
Lineage: Eukaryota; Metazoa; Chordata; Mammalia; Primates; Hominidae
Description: HSALNT0328789
Source: RNAcentral
GGGCAGAAGAUACAGCUUUCUGCAAUAUCCUGAGACAUAAACCUCAGGAAUUGCUAAGGCCAAUGGUCAGAGGAGCCAAGAGAGAACCAGUCAUGGCACAUUGUGUGGCCAAUACCAGUCACGGGACCAAACUGGGUCAACGUCUUAGCCAUUGGAGUGAAGAUGGACUAUGUGAUAAGAGAGAUCUGGAAUACAUCUGAAAGUGUCCUUAGUUGUAAGGCUUAAAGAAUCAGUUAUGGACCUUCCAGCUGGUGGCCCAAGAUUAUAGUCCCUUUGAUGAUAAGAUACCUAUAAAAGGAAUACUAGCUGUUUAUUAAAAA